This 253-nucleotide ribosomal RNA is filed under the name uncultured bacterium. RNAcentral's name for it is "partial 16S ribosomal RNA". It matches the Rfam family "Bacterial small subunit ribosomal RNA", at positions 524 to 776 of the family's 1533-position model. The record is from RNAcentral.
UACGGGGGGGGCAAGCGUUGUUCGGAUUUACUGGGCGUAAAGCGCGUGUAGGCGGCUUGGCAAGUCGGAUGUGAAAGCCCACGGCUCAACCGUGGAAGCGCAUCCGAAACUGCUUCGCUCGAGUCUCGGAGAGGAAGGUGGAAUGCUUGGUGUAGAGGUGAAAUUCGUAGAUAUCAAGCAGAACACCUGCGGCGAAGGCGGCCUUCUGGACGAUGACUGACGCUGAGACGCGAAAGCGUGGGGAGCAAACAGG